RNAcentral lists this ribosomal RNA (289 nucleotides) under uncultured bacterium. Its description in RNAcentral is "partial 16S ribosomal RNA". It matches the Rfam family "Bacterial small subunit ribosomal RNA", at positions 773 to 1060 of the family's 1533-position model. The record is from RNAcentral.
GUGGAUUAGAUACCCUAGUAGUCCACGCCGUAAACGAUGAUAACUAGAUGUUGCGGGAAUUGACCCCUGCAGUAUCGCAGCUCACGCAUUAAGUUAUCCGCCUGGGGAGUACGGCCGCAAGGCUAAAACUCAAAGGAAUUGACGGGGGCCCGCACAAGCGGUGGAGUAUGUGGUUUAAUUCGAAGCAACGCGAAGAACCUUACCUGGGUUUGACAUCCUCUGAAUACGGUAGAGAUAUCGUCGGCUCGCAAGAGACAGAGAGACAGGUGCUGCAUGGUUGUCGACAACU